AGUGAACGCUGGCGGUAGGCCUAACACAUGCAAGUCGAACGGCAGCACAGUAAGAGCUUGCUCUUACGGGUGGCGAGUGGCGGACGGGUGAGGAAUACAUCGGAAUCUACUUUUUCGUGGGGGAUAACGUAGGGAAACUUACGCUAAUACCGCAUACGACCUACGGGUGAAAGCAGGGGAUCUUCGGACCUUGCGCGAUUGAAUGAGCCGAUGUCGGAUUAGCUAGUUGGCGGGGUAAAGGCCCACCAAGGCGACGAUCCGUAGCGGGUCUGAGAGGAUGAUCAGCCACACUGGAACUGAGACACGGUCCAGACUCCUACGGGAGGCAGCAGUGGGGAAUAUUGGACAAAGGGCGCAAGCCUGAUCCAGCCAUACCGCGUGGGUGAAGAAGGCCUUCGGGUUGUAAAGCCCUUUUGUUGGGAAAGAAAAGCAGCAGGUUAAUACCCCGCUGUUCUGACGGUACCCAAAGAAUAAGCACCGGCUAACUUCGUG
RNAcentral lists this ribosomal RNA (492 nucleotides) under uncultured bacterium. RNAcentral's name for it is "partial 16S ribosomal RNA". It matches the Rfam family "Bacterial small subunit ribosomal RNA", at positions 29 to 507 of the family's 1533-position model. The record is from RNAcentral.